CAGUCUGUCUUGGAUACAGGCAUCGAGGGGGUGCAUUACGUGCAGAGAUUUAAAAAACAAUAAUAAAACUGACUAAAAGUCAGUCUGCUUUUUAUUACCACCAUGUGCCAACAAUUCUAAACAUUGCCAGUGAUAAAAUACUCCUCCUUGAAAAAGUUUUUUGUUGGUCUAACUUCCAAACAACUACAGUGGUUACUGGGGUGCAGCUCUGUGCCUUACAAGAAAUCUAUGCUUUAUGGAAGAAUCUACACUCUCUUAAUGUGACUACCUCUCAGACAUCAGAAGACAACCUUACAUCACCUAAAUACAGCUGCCCAGCUUACUGGAGCCUUUGUGCUGAAUCAGUGGGACUUGUUUUAGCAUUGCAUGGACCUGAGUGAGCUCUGCAGCCACCACCUAUAACUGAAGUCUCUUGUGCCAUGCUUUGAAAGGAAGUUACCCACAGCAACUCUCAUUUGAGGAGAACAAAGCCAUGAGGACUUGCAUUUUUAACCUACACAUGGCCAGCAAAGGCACACAGAGUUGACAUGGAACACAGAACCAACUAAGGCAAAUACUGGCCUCAGAACACAGAACAGACACCAAAGAGUACAACAAGGAAGAGAAAUGAAAAUGAAAUUUAGAACUGCAAAACUCUGAGAGUCCCAGUUCCCAAUACUUGUAGGACCUUGGAUAAGCCACUUAAUAUCUUCAUAGAACCCUAGUUUCUCUUCAGCAAAGAAGUUGGUGUCCUGGGAAAAUCCCCUCAUUGUCACAUAGGGAUCAGCACCUAACUGCAAGUGCAAUUCAGCCAUUCCCUAAGAGAUGGGUUCCUACUGCAUCUGAUCUCGGCCAAGAUGCUCCCAUCUGCUUUCAACAUGUAGCAUCUGACGUUAACUAAUGUCUUCUAUUAGCAUUAAAAGAAAACAAUCUGGAAAAAUUCACUCUCAAGCAGAGUUCAAACAGGCCACAAGUAGAUGUGGAAUCUCAACUGUACAAGGUUUGUUAAAAUAAUAGUAAUAAAUAAAUACAUACAU
Mustela lutreola (European mink) is the source of this 1016-nucleotide long non-coding RNA. RefSeq lists it as uncharacterized. The transcript is spliced from 5 exons. NCBI's taxonomy places the organism in Eukaryota, Metazoa, Chordata, Mammalia, Carnivora, Mustelidae. The record is from RefSeq and is a predicted model, not a curated record.